This 420-nucleotide ribosomal RNA is filed under the name uncultured Ethanoligenens sp. RNAcentral describes it as "bacterial SSU rRNA". It matches the Rfam family "Bacterial small subunit ribosomal RNA", at positions 354 to 788 of the family's 1533-position model. Lineage: Bacteria; Bacillati; Bacillota; Clostridia; Eubacteriales; Oscillospiraceae. The record is from RNAcentral.
UGGGGGAAUAUUGGGCAAUGGACACAAGUCUGACCCAGCAACGCCGCGUGAGGGAAGAAGGUUUUCGGAUUGUAAACCUCUGUUUUAGUGAAGAAAAAAUAGACGGUAGCUAAAGAGGAAGCCACGGCUAACUACGUGCCAGCAGCCGCGGUAAUACGUAGGUGGCAAGCGUUGUCCGGAUUUACUGGGUGUAAAGGGUGCGCAGGCGGGACUGCAAGUUGGAUGUGAAAUACCGAGGCUUAACCUCGGGGCUGCAUCCAAAACUGUAGUUCUUGAGUGGAGUAGAGGUAAGCGGAAUUCCGAGUGUAGCGGUGAAAUGCGUAGAUAUUCGGAGGAACACCAGUGGCGAAGGCGGCUUACUGGGGCUCUAACUGACGCUGAGGCACGAAAGCAUGGGUAGCAAACAGGAUUAGAUACCCU